RNAcentral lists this ribosomal RNA (406 nucleotides) under uncultured bacterium. RNAcentral describes it as "partial 16S ribosomal RNA". It matches the Rfam family "Bacterial small subunit ribosomal RNA", at positions 30 to 526 of the family's 1533-position model. The record is from RNAcentral.
AUUGAACGCUGGCGGCAGGCCUAACACAUGCAAGUCGAACGAGUGGCGGACGGGUGAGUAAUGUCUGGGAAACUGCCUGAUGUAGGGGGAUAACUACUGGAAACGGUAGCUAAUACCGCAUACCAUCAGAUGUGCCCAGAUGGGAUUAGCAAGUGGGUGGGGUAAAGGCUCACCAAGGCGACGAUCCCGAGCUGGGCGGAGAGGAUGACCAUCCACACUGGGACUGAGACACGGUCCAGACUCCUACGGGAGGCAGCAGUAGGGAAUAUUGCACAAUGGACGCAAGCCUGAUUCAGCCAUGCCGCGUGUAUGAAGAAGGCCUUCGGGUUGUAAAGUACUUUCAGCGGGGAGGCGUUACCCGAAGAAGAAGCCCCGGCUAACUCCGUGCCAGCAGCCGCGGUAAUUC